Long non-coding RNA from Zea mays, 374 nucleotides. RefSeq lists it as uncharacterized. The transcript is spliced from 2 exons. NCBI's taxonomy places the organism in Eukaryota, Viridiplantae, Streptophyta, Magnoliopsida, Poales, Poaceae. The record is from RefSeq and is a predicted model, not a curated record.
AAUGCUCUACUAGUUGGUCAGAUAGGCAGAUUGAGUCGCGAGAUGGUAGUAAUCACCACUCUGUGCAAGAAAAGAUUGAGAUGGUCACCAUAAUGGGGAUGGCAUAUCGACAUGAAUUGUCCUCAUAACUUAGCAGAUCGAUUACAAAGUUUCUUCGAAGAACUUUUGCAUCCUACACACAAAGACAUAAGAGAACAAAACGUCAGGUUUUUAUUAUAUAACCGAAAUGUAUGUUUGAACAUGACACGAACUUAGGUCACUCACUCUAACAAAUUUCAUUCGUCUGUUAUUCCCCUCACAUGGCCAUAGCUUGUAGAACAAGGUAGCUAGUAUUAACCCUAUAGAAUAAUGUUUGACAACUAUGUUAUAUACAA